Molecule: ribosomal RNA, 229 nt
Filed under: uncultured bacterium
Lineage: Bacteria
Description: partial 16S ribosomal RNA
Rfam family: Bacterial small subunit ribosomal RNA
Source: RNAcentral
CGUGCAGGCGGUUUGGUAAGUCGGACGUGAAAGCUCCUGGCUCAACUGGGAGAGGUCGUUCGAAACUGCCAGACUUGAGGACGGUAGAGGAGAGUGGAAUUCCGGGUGUAGUGGUGAAAUGCGUAGAUAUCCGGAGGAACACCAGUGGCGAAGGCGGCUCUCUGGGCCGUACCUGACGCUAAGACGCGAAAGCUAGGGUAGCAAACAGGAUUAGAUACCCUGGUAGUCC